Molecule: ribosomal RNA, 528 nt
Filed under: marine bacterium SIMO-4482
Lineage: Bacteria
Description: bacterial SSU rRNA
Rfam family: Bacterial small subunit ribosomal RNA
Source: RNAcentral
GUUGGAAACGACUGCUAAUACCGCAUAAUGUCUACGGACCAAAGGGGGCUUCGGCUCUCGCCUUUAGAUUGGCCCAAGUGGGAUUAGCUAGUUGGUGAGGUAAUGGCUCACCAAGGCGACGAUCCCUAGCUGGUUUGAGAGGAUGAUCAGCCACACUGGGACUGAGACACGGCCCAGACUCCUACGGGAGGCAGCAGUGGGGAAUAUUGCACAAUGGGCGCAAGCCUGAUGCAGCCAUGCCGCGUGUGUGAAGAAGGCCUUCGGGUUGUAAAGCACUUUCAGUCAGGAGGAAAGGUUAGUAGUUAAUACCUGCUAGCUGUGACGUUACUGACAGAAGAAGCACCGGCUAACUCCGUGCCAGCAGCCGCGGUAAUACGGAGGGUGCGAGCGUUAAUCGGAAUUACUGGGCGUAAAGCGUACGCAGGCGGUUUGUUAAGCGAGAUGUGAAAGCCCCGGGCUCAACCUGGGAACUGCAUUUCGAACUGGCAAACUAGAGUGUGAUAGAGGGUGGUAGAAUUUCAGGUGUAG